CCUACGUUGAAAAUGGACUAGACGAUACUGAUAAUAAUAAUGGUUUUAUGCAAAAUUGCAGUGCAACAGAUCACUCAACGGUUGCUGAGCAUGAAUUAACAUUUUUAGCGCUUGGAAUAGUUUCAACAUCCUAUGUUUAAUAUGGAUUAGAAGAUUGCAGUACAGCAGAUCUUUCAAGCCAUGAUGAAACAUGAAUUAUCGUUUUUAGCACUUGGGAAAU
Molecule: long non-coding RNA, 220 nt
Organism: Rhopalosiphum maidis (corn leaf aphid)
Lineage: Eukaryota; Metazoa; Arthropoda; Insecta; Hemiptera; Aphididae
Exons: 3
Source: RefSeq, a predicted model, not a curated record